UCUCCGUUGGUGAACCAGCGGAGGGAUCAUUACCGAGUGUAAAAACUCCCAAACCAUUGUGAACCUACCACUGUUGCUUCGGCGGCCUCGCCCCGGGCGCGUUCGCGCGGCCCGGACCCAGGCGUCCGCCGGAGGCUCCAAAAAUUCUAGCUGUUUUUGUACCAUCUGAGUCUUCCACAAAUAAACAAAACUUUCAACAACGGAUCUCUUGGUUCUG
RNAcentral lists this unclassified non-coding RNA (217 nucleotides) under root metagenome. RNAcentral describes it as "partial contains small subunit ribosomal RNA, internal transcribed spacer 1, and 5.8S ribosomal RNA". The record is from RNAcentral.